AACGCAUAUUGCACUCUUUGGUAUUCCGAAGAGUAUGCUUGUUUCAGUAUCAUGAAAAUCCUCGUUAAAUAUGAAUUUUUUUUUCAAAUUUAAUGGAUUUGGAUUUGCGAUUAGGAUAAUUAAUUGCUAAUCUGAAAUGAAUUUCAAGAAGCUGAUGCUAGAUCUUUGCUUAAUAGUUUUGGUUUUUUAAAUCAAAUCUUUAGCUCUGAUCUUUAAGCAAAAAGUGAAUUGAUUUUACGAAAUUUAAUCUCAUUUUUUGAUCUGAAAUCAAGUAGGACUACCCGCUGAACUUAA
RNAcentral lists this unclassified non-coding RNA (294 nucleotides) under uncultured fungus. Its description in RNAcentral is "sequence contains ITS2". The record is from RNAcentral. Lineage: Eukaryota; Fungi.